UAUACUGCAAGCCCAUUGUAUACUGCAGGUGUUUUCUCUGCUUUACAUAAGAAUAAAAAAUAAUUCCUCUCAUGUCUGCACAUUUGCUCUAAUUUAGCCUUUUGCAUGACAAAUAUCACACUGUUUUCUUUAAGAGGGGGUGCUCAGAUAUAACAUAACACAAGUGGCUUGAGCACUGUGUCAUGGACACAGAAGGCUUUUGCUUAUUUUCAAUCCAAACUUUAUUGUGAAAGAUAAAUAUCACAUAAAUAUCUUCCUAAUUCAUAAUGUUGGUAUAUUCAAAUAGAGAUUCUAAAUUUGCAUAACAAACAAACUUAUGCCAUGCCAUGUUGUUAUGCCACUGUUGACCAGUAGAUGGAGCCCUAUGCUCUGUUGCUCUACUGGCUGUCCAUGGCAAAUGAGGGUGAUAUUGAUUACGUAUUAAAUACUAACGUAGAUUGACUUCUUACAAUACUAUCACAUUUUUGAUCUGACUGUGUUCUAUCUACAGUACACCUGGAUCAAGAAGAGUGGAGCUGUAGAACUGAAGAUACAUGUAGGAAAGGAGAACACACUCACCUUCAGAAAUAUCCGUUCUGAGGACAGUGGAGAGUAUCUCUGUCGAGCAGCCAAUAGGAUUGGUCAACAGGACUCUCCUGCUGUGUCUGUCCGGGUUUUAUAUCGUCCAAAGAACACAAGAAUUGUGUCUGCUCCAUCUGAUACAAUAACUGAGGGAACUAGAGUGACUCUGACCUGCAUGAGUAAAGCUGACCCACCAGUACACACAUACACCUGGAUCAAGAAGAGUGGAGCUGUAUAACUAGAGUCAGGAAAGGAGAAGACACUCACCUUCAGCAAGAUCCGUUCUGAGGACAGUGGAGAGUAUCUCUGUCGAGCAGACAAUAGGAUUGGUCAACAGGACUCUCCUGCUGUGUUAAUCAAGGUUUCAUACCCACAUGAGAAUGUAGCCGAUAGGAUUGGUCAUCAGGACUCUCCUGCUGUGUCUGUCCAGGUUUUAGCACCAGUGUGCCACAGCCUACUGACUGCUGCUCUUGUUGGAGUCGGAGUCUGUGGGGUUUUAAAUCUGCCUUGUGUCAUAUACUUGCUGAGGACUUGCUUGAGAAAUAAGAAGACAAGAAGAGAAAAUACUCAGGAUGGAAACCAUGGCAACAACAUGCAGAUGAACCUGAACCCCAACACCACCCAACCUGAUGCAGUCUAUCAGAGCCUGAACCCCAACACCAUGCAACCUGAUCCAGUUUACCAAACCCUGAACCCCUACAGCCAUACAAAUUAAGUUUAUCACAAACCUAGCAGCAGUGUAUUCUGUUUUACACCCAGAAAUAUAAAGCAGAGUAAAUAUAGACCUUGCUUGUACCCAACAAAACUGCAAUGCGUAUUAUUUUCAGCAGAUAUCUAGGACUUUGUUAAGUAGAAUG
Alosa alosa (allis shad) is the source of this 1418-nucleotide long non-coding RNA. RefSeq lists it as uncharacterized. The record is from RefSeq and is a predicted model, not a curated record. NCBI's taxonomy places the organism in Eukaryota, Metazoa, Chordata, Actinopteri, Clupeiformes, Clupeidae. The transcript has 6 exons.